This is a long non-coding RNA of Cyprinus carpio (common carp), 595 nucleotides long. RefSeq lists it as uncharacterized. NCBI's taxonomy places the organism in Eukaryota, Metazoa, Chordata, Actinopteri, Cypriniformes, Cyprinidae. The record is from RefSeq and is a predicted model, not a curated record. The transcript is spliced from 3 exons.
CAGAGUCUGUCAGCGGUGCCUCAGCAGACCUGCACUACAGUCCAGAAGGCACCUCCACCAGCACCAUCACAAUGGACUUCACCAGUCACUGGUUUGUAUUCACUGCAUCUGCUUUUGUGUUUUGACUGGUGGUCUGUCAUUGUGUCUGUACGACUCAUCUCUGACAGGACUGAUGCUGGGCCAAGCUGUGGACAUCCCAGUAGCAAAGGUAUCAGUGGACAGGAAGGCAGUUCUGCAGAACCAAGCUCAGGACAAGCUGAUCCAGGUUAGGCCUCUUGUAAAUGCAAAGAGUGAAGGUCAAGUUUACAGUCAAGUUUGUGAACUUGUGUGUCAACAGCUGAAGACACAAAUAGACAAAAUAGCACAUCUGGAGAGCCAACAGCAGACCAGGAUGACAACAGUGAGGAGACCAACCACACGCCCUCAACAAACAACAAUCCUCCACUCACACAGAGAUUAAAUUUCAGGGGAUCAGUGAUCGUGAACAGGUUCUGAGGCGAACAGCAAAGAGCGGAAAGAGAUGGCAAAGGCAGAGGCACUCAAUAUUAGGAGACCUGUUGUAAAAAUGACCUAUGAAGGCCACCGUGACUCAAGG